RNAcentral lists this ribosomal RNA (206 nucleotides) under uncultured bacterium. RNAcentral's name for it is "partial 16S ribosomal RNA". It matches the Rfam family "Bacterial small subunit ribosomal RNA", at positions 568 to 774 of the family's 1533-position model. The record is from RNAcentral.
CGCGCAGGCGGCGUCGUAAGUCGGUCUUAAAAGUGCGGGGCUUAACCCCGUGAGGGGACCGAAACUGCGAUGCUAGAGUAUCGGAGAGGAAAGCGGAAUUCCUAGUGUAGCGGUGAAAUGCGUAGAUAUUAGGAGGAACACCAGUGGCGAAAGCGGCUUUCUGGACGACAACUGACGCUGAGGCGCGAAAGCCAGGGGAGCAAGCG